Molecule: non-coding RNA, 1344 nt
Organism: Picea glauca (white spruce)
Lineage: Eukaryota; Viridiplantae; Streptophyta; Pinopsida; Pinales; Pinaceae
Source: Rfam
UGCAACUAUACCCGUUUUUUGUGUUAAUGGAGCUUGGAGGAGAUUAUAAUUCUCGUAUAGUAUUUAAGCUCCUCCAAGCUCUUGGAGGAGAUUAAACCCUUGUAUAGUUAAAAAAUUGGUAUUCUGGAGCUUGAACUGAUCUGGAAUAUAGAUACGCCCAGACUCCUAUGGGAGGCAGCAGUGGGGAAUUUUCUGCAAUGGGAAAAAGCCUAGCGGAGCAAUGUCGCGUGAAGGCAGAAGGCCCACAGGUCAUGACCUUCUUUUCUCAAAGAAGAAACAAUGACGGUAUCUGAGGAAUAAGCAUCAGCCAAAUCGGUGCCAACAACUGCAAUAAAACAGAGGAUGCAAGUGUUAUCUAGAAUGAUUGGGUGUAAAGCAUCUGUAGGUGACUUUUCAAGUUCAUCGUCAAAUCCCAGGGCUCAACCCUAGAUAGGCGGUGGAAACUACCAAGUUGGAAUAUGGUAGGGGCAGAGGGAAUUUUCGGUGGAGCGGUGAAAUGCAUUGAGAUCAGAAAGAACACCAAUGAGGAAAUCACUUUGUUGGGUCGACACUAACACUGAGAGAUGAAAUCUAGGGGAGAAAAUGGGAUUAGAUACCCCAGUAGUCCUAGCCAUAAACAAUGGAUACUAAGUGUUGUGUGUAUCGACCCGCAUAGUGUUUUAGCUAAUGUGUUAAGUAUCCUGCCUGGGGAGUACAUUCGCAAGAAUGAAACUCAAAGGAAUUGAUGGGGGCCUGCACAAGCGAUGGAGCAUGUGGUUCAAUUCGAUGCAAAGCGAAGAACCUUACCAGGGCUUGGCAUGUCGUGAAUCCUCCCAAAAGAGAGGAGUGCCUUUGGGAACGCAGACACAGGUGGUGCAUGGAUGUCAUCAGCUCAUGUCGUAAGGUGUUGGGUUAAUUCCUGCAACAAGCGCAACCCUCGUGUUUAGUUGCUAGCAUUGAGUUUGGAACCCUGAACAGACUGUUGGUGAUAAGUCAGAGGAAGGUGAGGAUGACGUCAAGUCAUCAUGCCCCUUAUGCCCUAGGCAACACGUGUGAUACAAUGACCGGGAAAAAGGGUCUCAACCUCGCAAGGGCAAGCUAAGCUCAAAAACCUGGCCUCAGUUCAGAUUGUAGGCUGCAAAUCGCCUGCAUGAAGUCAUAAUUGCUAGUAAUUGUCGGUUAGCCAUACAACAGUGAAUCUGUUACUGGUCCUUGUACACACCGCCCGUCACAUUAUGGGAGUUGGUCAUGCCCUAAUUCAUUACCUUGACUGCAAGGAGGGGGAUUUCGAAGGCUGGGCUAGUGACUGGAGUGAAGUCGUAACAAGGUAGUUGUACUAGAAGGUGGGGUUGGAUCACCUCCUUU